UACGGAGGGUGCAAGCGUUCUCCGGAUUCCCUGGGUUUAAAGGGUGCGUAGGUGGCCAACUAAGUCGGACGUGAAAUCCCUCGGCUUAACCGGGGAACUGCGUCCGAUACUGGUUGGCUUGAGUUUGGGAGAGGGAUGCGGAAUUCCAGGUGUAGCGGUGAAAUGCGUAGAUAUCUGGAGGAACACCGGUGGCGAAGGCGGCAUCCUGGACCAAUACUGACGCUGAGGAGCGAAAGCCAGGGGAGCAAACGGG
Molecule: ribosomal RNA, 253 nt
Filed under: uncultured bacterium
Lineage: Bacteria
Description: partial 16S ribosomal RNA
Rfam family: Bacterial small subunit ribosomal RNA
Source: RNAcentral